GUCUCCGGACAUAUCAGCCUGAAGGCGCUAGAUCUUGUCUGCUCUCAGAAGUUUAAGCAGGGUCGGGCCUGGUUAGUAUCUUGGAUGGGAGACCACCUGGGAAUCCCGGGUGCUCGAGGCU
RNAcentral lists this ribosomal RNA (121 nucleotides) under Bison bison bison. The record is from RNAcentral. Lineage: Eukaryota; Metazoa; Chordata; Mammalia; Artiodactyla; Bovidae.